RNAcentral lists this ribosomal RNA (469 nucleotides) under uncultured bacterium. Its description in RNAcentral is "partial 16S ribosomal RNA". It matches the Rfam family "Bacterial small subunit ribosomal RNA", at positions 28 to 507 of the family's 1533-position model. The record is from RNAcentral.
GACGAACGCUGGCGGCGUGCUUAACACAUGCAAGUCGAACGGAAAGGCCCUGCUUGCAGGGUGCUCGAGUGGCGAACGGGUGAGUAACACGUGGGUGAUCUGCCCCUUACUUUGGGAUAAGCCUGGGAAACUGGGUCUAAUACUGGAUAGGACCAUGCUGUAGGUGGUGUGGUGGAAAGAUUAGUUUCGGUAAGGGAUGAGCUCGCGGCCUAUCAGCUUGUUGGUGGGGGAAUGGCCUACCAAGGCGUCGACGGGUAGCCGGCCUGAGAGGGUGGACGGCCACAUUGGGACUGGGAUACGGCCCAGACUCCUACGGGAGGCAGCAGUGGGGAAUAUUGCACAAUGGGCGCAAGCCUGAUGCAGCGACGCCGCGUGGGGGAUGACGGCCUUCGGGUUGUAAACUCCUUUCAGCCAUGACGAAGCCCUUGUGGUGACGGUAGUGGUAGAAGAAGCACCGGCUAACUACGUG